AUUUCCACAGCAGUAUACCAGAAUCCACCAACACCGGCCAAGAGGCCUCCCACACCGAAGUACUUAUACAUACACACAACACAGAGUGUCCAACCUAGCCACUGUAUCAUGUAAACCCCACUCCACCUACAACUUCACACAUACAUCCCACGAGCCACCAUCCUUGUACAAUAGAAGGAGUCGCCCUCGGCAAGUAGCCCUACACACACACAACUGCACCUACACUCGCCACCAAUCACCUACCGCCUAU
Molecule: long non-coding RNA, 250 nt
Filed under: Carica papaya (papaya)
Lineage: Eukaryota; Viridiplantae; Streptophyta; Magnoliopsida; Brassicales; Caricaceae
Description: long non-coding RNA (CPAP_LNC005650)
Source: RNAcentral